GAGUUUGAUUCUGGCUCAGGAUGAACGCUGGCGGUAUGCCUUAUACAUGCAAGUCGUACGAGAGUUUUUAGCUCAAGUGGCGGACGGGUGAGUAACACGUAAGAAUUUGCCUUUAGGAGGGGGACAACAACUGGAAACGGUUGCUAAUACCCCAUAUGCUUUCGAGUGAAAUGGUUUUUCCGCCUAAAGAGAAGCUUGCGGCUGAUUAGCUUGUUGGUAGAGUAAUAGCCUACCAAGGCGACGAUCAGUAUCUGGUUUGAGAGGACGAUCAGACACACUGGAACUGAGACACGGUCCAGACUCCUACGGGAGGCAGCAGUAGGGAAUUUUCCGCAAUGGGCGAAAGCCUGACGGAGCAAUACCGCGUGAGGGAUGACUGCCUAUGGGUUGUAAACCUCUUUUUUCAGGGAGGAAUAAAUGACGUGUACCUGAAGAAUAAGCAUCGGCUAACUCCGUGCCAGCAGCCGCGGUAAGACGGAGGAUGCAAGUGUUAUCCGGAAUCACUGGGCGUAAAGCGUCUGUAGGUGGUCAAAUAAGUCAACUGUUAAAUCUUGGGGCUCAACCUCAAAAUCGCAGUCGAAACUAUUAGGCUAGAGUAUAGUAGAGGUAAAGGGAAUUUCCAGUGGAGCGGUGAAAUGCGUAGAGAUUGGAAAGAACACCGAUGGCGAAGGCACUUUACUGGGCUAUUACUGACACUCAGAGACGAAAGCUAGGGUAGCAAAUGGGAUUAGAUACCCCAGUAGUCCUAGCCGUAAACAAUGGAUACUAGGUGUUGAACAGAUCGAUCUGUGCAGUACUAAAGCUAACGCGUUAAGUAUCCCGCCUGGGAAGUAUGCACGCAAGUGUGAAACUCAAAGGAAUUGACGGGGGCCCGCACAAGCGGUGGAGCAUGUGGUUUAAU
This 901-nucleotide ribosomal RNA is filed under the name uncultured phototrophic eukaryote. RNAcentral describes it as "bacterial SSU rRNA". It matches the Rfam family "Bacterial small subunit ribosomal RNA", at positions 9 to 950 of the family's 1533-position model. The record is from RNAcentral.